UGGGGAAUAUUGGACAAUGGGCGCAAGCCUGAUCCAGCCAUGCCGCGUGAGUGAUGAAGGCCCUAGGGUUGUAAAGCUCUUUCACCGGUGAAGAUAAUGACGGUAACCGGAGAAGAAGCCCCGGCUAACUUCGUGCCAGCAGCCGCGGUAAUACGAAGGGGGCUAGCGUUGUUCGGAUUUACUGGGCGUAAAGCGCACGUAGGCGGACUAUUAAGUCAGGGGUGAAAUCCCGGGGCUCAACCCCGGAACUGCCUUUGAUACUGGUAGUCUUGAGUUCGAGAGAGGUGAGUGGAAUUCCGAGUGUAGAGGUGAAAAUCGUAGAUAUUGGGAGGAACACCAGUGGCGAAGGCGGCUCACUGGCUCGAUACUGACGCUGAGGUGCGAAAGCGUGGGGAGCAAACAGG
RNAcentral lists this ribosomal RNA (404 nucleotides) under Actinomycetes bacterium. RNAcentral's name for it is "Actinobacteria bacterium partial 16S ribosomal RNA". It matches the Rfam family "Bacterial small subunit ribosomal RNA", at positions 355 to 776 of the family's 1533-position model. Lineage: Bacteria; Bacillati; Actinomycetota; Actinomycetes. The record is from RNAcentral.